This 425-nucleotide ribosomal RNA is filed under the name uncultured bacterium. RNAcentral describes it as "partial 16S ribosomal RNA". It matches the Rfam family "Bacterial small subunit ribosomal RNA", at positions 354 to 796 of the family's 1533-position model. The record is from RNAcentral.
GUGGGGAAUCUUGCGCAAUGGGCGAAAGCCUGACGCAGCCAUGCCGCGUGGAUGAUGAAGGUCUUAGGAUUGUAAAAUCCUUUCACCGGUGAAGAUAAUGACUGUAGCCGGAGAAGAAGCCCCGGCUAACUUCGUGCCAGCAGCCGCGGUAAUACGAAGGGGGCUAGCGUUGCUCGGAUUUACUGGGCGUAAAGGGCGCGUAGGCGGACAUUUAAGUCAGGGGUGAAAUCCCGGGGCUCAACCUCGGAACUGCCUUUGAUACUGGGUGUCUUGAGUAUGAGAGAGGUGUGUGGAACUCCGAGUGUAGAGGUGAAAUUCGUAGAUAUUCGGAAGAACACCAGUGGCGAAGGCGACACACUGGCUCAUUACUGACGCUGAGGCGCGAAAGCGUGGGGAGCGAACGGGAUUAGAUACCCGAGUAGUCC